This 301-nucleotide ribosomal RNA is filed under the name uncultured bacterium. RNAcentral describes it as "partial 16S ribosomal RNA". It matches the Rfam family "Bacterial small subunit ribosomal RNA", at positions 509 to 807 of the family's 1533-position model. The record is from RNAcentral.
CAGCAGCCGCGGGAAAACGAAGGGUGCAAGCGUUACUCGGAAUUACUGGGCGUAAAGCGUGUGUAGGUGGUUGUUUAAGUCUGUCGUGAAAGCCCUGGGCUCAACCUGGGAAUUGCGAUGGAUACUGGGCGACUAGAGUGCGGUAGAGGAUAGUGGAAUUUCCGGUGUAGCAGUGAAAUGCGUAGAGAUCGGAAGGAACAUCUGUGGCGAAGACGACUGUCUGGGCCAACACUGACACUGAGGCACGAAAGCGUGGGGAGCAAACAGGAUUAGAUACCCCUGUAGUCCCUGUCUCUUAUAC